RNA transcript from Hemicordylus capensis (graceful crag lizard), 6951 nucleotides. It is a transcript of the gene named cyclin dependent kinase 14, with no coding region annotated. The transcript is spliced from 16 exons. The record is from RefSeq and is a predicted model, not a curated record. Lineage: Eukaryota; Metazoa; Chordata; Lepidosauria; Squamata; Cordylidae.
GGCGGGAGGGGCAGAAAGAGGAUGGAGCUGGAGUGAGUUGCUGUUGGGUUGGCGGCUGCGGCAGCUGGAGCUCAGCUGAGGGUCGCCUCCCUUUCUGGGCGGUAGCAGCAGCAGCAGCUCCGCUCUGUGCGCCUCCUGGCAGGACUUUCUCUUUCUUCCCCUGCCUGCUCCUCUAGGCUCCGCUCCCUCCCUCUCCCUUAGGGCUGCUGCUCCCGUCCUCUUCCUCCCUGCCCUUUCCUGGGUCUCUCUCGUACACUCUUUCUUCCUUUCCCUUUGCUCCGACUCGCCUCCCCUCCUCUGCUGACUCCCACCCCCCCCACCCACCCCUCUCUUUCCUAGAGAGAAAGCCUCGCUCCUUCCCUCCUCCGCCCCUCAUUGUCUCGUGGAGCGAAUUGCCAAAUUUCAAGGCAGGGGGAACUAUGGGCGCGGGCAAAGCAGAGCCAGCAGAGGCGGCUGCUCUUUCGGGCACCACAUAGAAGAGCCCCUCGACCUCCUCCGUGGGUGGUUGCGUGAGUGGCCGCUCGCACCGCGCAGAGCCGCCGCCGCCUCCUGCUCCUCUUCCUCCGGGGCUCCAGCCCGCCCCUGCCCCGGUUGCAAGCGGCGCGUGCAGCUUCUGGGGGACUCGCCCGCUGGAGCCAGAUGUGCGACCUGCUAGACUCGCAGCCCGUCGCCGAGAAGAAGCUCAGCAGGAUGAAAAAGUUGCGGCGAACUUUGUCGGAGAGUUUCGGCCGGAUAGCCCUGAAGAAAGAAGAUAAUGGCUUUGAUGAGAUAUGUGUCACAAAGAUGUCUACACGGAACUGCCAAGGAAUGGAUUCUGUGAUCAAGCCCUUGGACACAAUUCCAGAGGAUAAAAAAGUCAGGGUUCAGAGGACACAGAGCACUUUUGAUCCAUUCGAGAAGCCAAAUAAUCAAGUGAAGAGAGUGCAUUCAGAGAACAAUGCCUGCAUUAACUUCAAGACUUCAUCUACUGGGAAGGAAUCGCCUAAAAUCAGACGGCAUUCCAGCCCUAGCUCUCCGACAAGUCCCAAAUUUGGAAAAGCAGACUCUUAUGAAAAACUGGAAAAGCUCGGGGAAGGUUCAUAUGCCACAGUAUACAAAGGCAAAAGCAAGGUAAAUGGCAAAUUGGUGGCACUGAAAGUAAUUAGACUUCAAGAGGAGGAAGGCACCCCUUUUACAGCCAUCAGGGAAGCUUCUCUUUUGAAAGGCUUAAAACAUGCAAAUAUUGUGCUGCUUCAUGAUAUCAUACACACAAAGGAAACAUUGACACUGGUAUUUGAGUUUGUGCACACUGAUUUAUGCCAGUACAUGGACAAACAUCCUGGAGGACUUCAUCCAGACAAUGUGAAGUUAUUUUUAUUUCAAUUGCUACGAGGACUGUCGUAUAUCCACCAGCGUUACAUUUUGCACAGGGACCUGAAACCCCAAAACCUCCUGAUCAGUGACACUGGGGAGUUGAAGCUGGCAGAUUUUGGACUUGCAAGAGCCAAAUCUGUCCCCAGCCACACAUACUCAAAUGAAGUGGUUACCCUGUGGUACAGACCUCCAGAUGUCCUCUUGGGCUCAACAGAAUAUUCCACUUGCCUUGACAUGUGGGGAGUUGGCUGUAUCUUUGUAGAGAUGAUUCAAGGUGUUGCUGCUUUCCCAGGAAUGAAAGACAUCCAAGAUCAACUUGAAAGAAUAUUUUUGGUACUGGGAACCCCAAAUGAAGAUACCUGGCCUGGAGUUCAUUCUCUUCCCCAUUUUAAACCAGAUCGCUUUACGCAGUACAGCGCUAAAAACCUUAGGCAAGCUUGGAAUAAACUUAGCUAUGUGAACCAUGCAGAGGAUCUGGCCUCCAAAUUACUGCAGUGUUUCCCAAAGAACAGAUUGUCAGCACAGGCAGCUCUGAGCCAUGAGUAUUUCAGUGAUCUGCCCCCGCGGCUAUGGGAGCUAACUGACAUGUCUUCUAUUUUUUCUGUACCGAAUGUAAGAUUACAACCAGAGGCUGGAGAAAGCAUGAAAGUCUUUGGAAAAAACAAUAUUUAUGGCAAAGGUCUAAUCAAACAUUAAGCACUGAGGAACAUUUUGAUUUCCCACAAUUCAGGAAUUAAGAUCACCAAACUAGAGGAGAGAGACCAAUCCUAAAGAGAGAGCCAACAUUAUGAAGACAUCCUGGCCCCGUUUCCUUGCUCUCCCGAUGGUGGAUUUCAGUCACAAGAAAAAAUGAUGCUGACAAGAUCCUGUUCACCCUCCCCGCACCAUUUAUUUAAAACCUUGCACGCAUUUGAAUACCUUGUGAUUUUGGAGACCUCCAUAAAGAUUUAUAAGCUUUUUGCUUACUUAUAUACAGCAUGUUCUUUUAUUUCAGCCUUUUGUGUUGUUGAUUUAAGUUCGUUUUUUCACUGCAGCACAUCAUCCUUGUAAAGGUUUUAUGCUUUCACCAGCAAUGUCUUAAAUGCAUUAAGACAGCACAUUUGGUGUUCACAUUUCCUCAGUAAUGUCUGUACAUAAAGCCAGUCAUGGCGUAGAACAAUGUGUGUGUUUUAUGAGAGGUUCCACAUAUUUUGCAAUUCGUCAGAAUGAUGUUUUACGCUAGAACAAAGUUUGCAGGUUGGUCAUGACACAAUCAAUAGCUUGCAAUUGUGCCCAUAUUUUGCCACUUGGAAAUUAUGAUCCUUUCCUUCACCAUGGCAAUAAGUGCAUCUUAAUAAUAAACUCUAAUUUGGGUACUGUACUGUACUUAGGUUGCAUAGCAUAGCAAAUUUAAAAAGAGACUUCCAGUGGUGGCGGGCUGUGGGGUGGGAGGGGGGACUAUAUAUGAUAUAGUAAUGAGUACUUUGAAUAUACUAGGCCCUUUCUUUUUUGCAGUUUUUGUGGUUCUUGGUUUUAUUUUUACUUUUUCCAUGUAGCUUAGUUCAAAAAUGUUUUCUAAGAAGGAAAAUAGAAAAGAUGGAGGAAUGAGUUUACAUUAGGAUAAGCACUAUGGUGUAGAAACUCUAGUUGCUAAAUGAGCCAUUUUUAAAAAAUACUAGUUUUGAGUAGUCGUCCGAAUUCCAAAUAUUUGCUCUUCCAAACCAAAGCAUCUUUCCAGUUAUUUUUCUAAGAUUUUCAGAUCUGAUUGGAAGAUGCCUUUAGCUACUGCAUCUUCAAAUGGGCUUUUUCCCAAUAAUUGUUCAACAUAAAUGCAAUUGAGUAAGAGGGGACUUUUACUUUCCUUGUUUUGAGAGAGGGGAAGAUGGAGCCUAUGGGAAUCUGAAGGACUAUUGCUGCUUUUGCCUGCCACACACCAUCCCUAAUAUGAUUAAUAAAACUUGAAUUCUAUGAGACGAGAAAUGGAGCCAAUCCAAAAAAUAAAUUAGACAUGCUUACUGUAAGGAUUUCUCGACAAUUUUAUUCAAGACAGAAAGCUAUUUUGCCUCCCUAGUAUAUCAGCUGCCUAAAAACACAUCUAUUUUUGUAACACGUUGAUUAUAGCAUCCAAUGCUUAGGGGAAAGGGUUAAAACAGGGAUAUAGGGCCCAUUUGAUAGUAUCUUCUUCUUUUUUUAGACUGGUGGCAUUGUGUUGCUUAGAAUUUGCAAAUACUUGAUUUUAUGAGAUUUCUGUUUAGUUUAAGAAAACUACAGUCAAUAUUAUUUUUUAUGUCCAUACAAUGUUAUAAACUGUGAAAUUGCUCCCAGUAGCUGUACAGGAAUUAAAAAUAUUGCUUUGGGACAAUUUUACUGUUUAAAUAUUGCUUCCAAAAUUUUGCCUAUGAGUAUCAAACUUAUUUGCUACAAAUUCUGUGUCUGUAGGAACAAGUAGCCACAAAAUCCAAUGGAACAUUUUGAAUAUAACAAAAAAGCAUUAACUAUUAUUUUGUUUGAGUUUCAUACUCUGCCUUCUCUGUGUGAUCUCCUUUGUCAAGUUAGGUCAUACAUAGAUGCAGUGGAUAUUUCAAUAUGAGGGUAUAUUUUAAAAAGAAAAGUCUUGGUGCUUGCAAAAAUGCAAGGAAUCUUUCAGGACAUCAUAAAGGUUUCAGUUAGGAAAAUGAGGGUCGAUCUUUAGAUGUAAAAUCUCUGGCUUUGGCAGCUUAUGCAGGGAGGUGAGCAAUUACACUCCUUGUUGAAGUGUCUGAGAGCAGUUCCACUACAAUGUUCCAUUCCAUGGGCUAAAAUGCAUAGCACUUUACACAACUCAAACAUUCAGAGCUUCUGCAUAUAUUUUUUGUGUGUGUGCACAUUAUGUAUACUUUUAAAAAAAAUUGCUGAUGCCAUUUAACAUAUUGGCCAUAAUUUUUAAUAUUCUAGUUACCAAGAAGUCUGCAGGUCAGUUCCCUCUUCAAAUAAGUGCUUUUGGAGUGGCUUUCCCUGGAAGAUUAUGUGCAGGAAACAUUAUGUGAGAAUUAAACACCUAUACCUUUACCAAUCUUCAGAAUACGACAUACUUGUCAGCGCUCUGAGAUCUUUCUUACAGAAUCCAUGUGGAUUUUCAAUUGCAAUGACAUUUACCAGUUGUAUCCCUUCACUGAAAUCAUUCCAAAUAAUGCAUAGGGGGUGGGGGGUUACAUUGAUGGCAGCACUAUAUUUAGGUACUUAAAUAAAUUACUAUUGGUCCUUUUUAAAGGUGAUGAGAUUCCAACAAAAUGGAGUUUACAAAAGAUAGUUUGAUAUUGUGCAAUUUGAUCUUCACUUGGAUCCAGAUCUUCCAGCUGGGUGGAAGAAAAGUUCAGUACACUAUAGUUACCCAUCCAAAUUUGGGAGUAAUGAAGAUUUCAUGGCCCUACCCUUCUCUUGGGGUAGAGAAGGGCCAGGCUUUACUGGGCCAGGCUUUACACUUAAAUAUCUUCUCACACCCUGGAUAUUUUUGAAUGCCUGCUAAAUCCCAAGAGUGGGUGAUUUUAUUUUAUAUUUUAUAGGGCUCCUUCCAUGACCAUCCCCCCACCCCCCUGCCAUGGUUCCCUUAAGGGUCACUCAGGCAAAGUCACUAGUUCUGUUCUAGAAGAUGUGAAGGCAACUCAGGGUGGCUUUGAACAUUUUGUAAUCAAGGGGACUUACAUUUUGCAAUUAUCCCCACUAUCAGUUGUGCAAGCUGUUUUGCUUCAGAAACUUGUGCACCUGACUGUAGUGAGGGCUGGAAAUGCUAAACUCCUGAUAUUACAAUGAUCUAAAGCAAUGGCCCCCAGUUAGGGAACUUCUGAUCUAAAGAAGAAGUAACUGUCAUCUUAUUGGUUUCUCCCAUGUUAUAUAAUACCUAAAGCUAUUCCGAACCAUUCAGGAUUGCAACAAGAGCCAAGACUUAGGACAAUUAUUAUUCUCCUUCCAGGUACUUGAAAAGGAGCUAUUUGCAUUCUCAGUUUUCCAUGUCUAUAUGGCCUGAUUCACACAUUAUUCUAGUAGUGUGAUUGAUUGCUGGUUCCCAUUCCUUUCCAGCAUUUGAAAGAUGAAUCACAUACGUCCUGUGAGAUCAAACUAUGUGAUAUCAAGUUAUUUGCUCUUUCAAUGUUUCCAGAGUGGGCAGACAACCACCCACAGAGAAAAAAUGCUGCUUUGAUAAUGUAUGGAUUGGGCCUGCAUUCAAGGUGAGACAGCUUUCCACUUCCUUACAGUUCUUGUAAAGGUGUCAUCCUGAUUUUUGUGGGCUUAUCGGGAAGGGGAGACAGUCCUGAAGCUAUGAAGAAAGAGGCCUGUUCACCCUCCAGUGAAGGAUGAGACAAAUCUUGGACCUAUGAGAAACUGAGGGGAAAGCUAGAUCAGUGGUAAUGAAAACUUUCUUUAGAGACUGUGGCGGACAUCUUAAGAGAACUCGCACAUUCAGUGGCUCUGCAGAGAGACAACGGUGGCCUGGACACAACUCCCCCAGCUGUUGUGCAAGAGAAGCUUUGCUCACAACUCUGCCUGUGCCUCAGAAAUGUCCUGUAGGAGAGAAAACAUAUCACUGAGGGUCAGCAGCAUACUUCCUCUCUUACAAAAUGCUCCUGGAGCAUGGGCAGAGCUACGAAGUUUCACCCCUUUGUGCAGCGGAAGCCUGGGGAGGUUGCGGGCCCCGUAGGGUCCCCACAGAGCCUUCUCACACAGAUUCUUCUCACAAGAGUUGGCCACUCUCUAUAAGCUUACGGGUUGCCUGCGUUACAGUAACCCUACCAAACAUGCAGAGCACCUGAGCAUUGCAUUAGUAUCGACAUUACUUGACUAGACAGUAUCCUUGAGGUUAUUUCGGGGUUAUUUUAAGCAUAAGGUUAUUAAGCAGCACAGGAAAGCUGAUAUACAGUGGCUGGAGAGAGAUGGGGACCCAGUCUUCCUUUCGUUGUGUGGGGGAUGGAUACACACACACACACACACCCCUAUUCAUGCUGGCUUAGGUUAUCAUAAAACUCAGCCCUCUCAGCAUUGAGGGCAAUCAACAUUGAGUAUGAUUUUUUGUACACACACUCAGCUGAAUGUGUGGCAAAUAUGGACUGUAUGUUCUAUACAAAAAUAUAUAUUGGUUUUGUAUUUAAUAUGAUAAAUGACACUUGGACUGUACAGACUGGCAGUGAAUGCAGAUACUUCAUAUAAACAGAAUUAUGUUCCAUUAUCCAUCCAUCCUUGACACAAAGGCAUGGAGGUUAUAUGUUAUUGCCUUGAAAUAUUCUUAAAAACAAAAAUCGAAAGGAUGCACUAAGAAAUUCCCUAAUCCCACUCCUCCAAUAAACUGCACUUCUGCAGUGCUACACAUAAAAUCUUCCCUUGUUAGGGCUUUUUAUAUGAAGCACAACAAGGUGCUCUUUUUAACAGGGGUUUGGUACUCAAACAAUGUUAAUUAUAUUAAAUAUGUUUACACACAUACAUAUAUCCACACACUUUAGAAUGACAGCUUAGUAAGCAGUAUGGUUAAGUAAAUGUUAUAUUGUUUGUUUCAACUUGUAAUUUGUCUGUAUUAUGAAAGAUGUAAUGGUUUGUCAGGUGUAACUUUCCGUGUAAUAUGAUAUUGAAUAAAGUGUAACAGGAUUGCUA